UUUUUGUAAUCAAAAUUAUUUUGUUCUCACUAUAAAGGCAGUAAGCUCCUACAGGACAUUUUAAAACUACAUAAAUGUGCCAUCCCCAGCUCAACCGAUUAUAAACAACUGCCGAAAGAUUGUGGGUACAAGCCAGCUGCCAUGUUGUGAGCACAUACCACAUAGCUCCAUGGAGAUGCCCAUGUGACUGUGAUGAAGAGCUAAGACUUCCUGUCAGUGGCCGUGUGAGUGACCCAUGUUAGAAACAGAUCCGCCAGCCCAAACAGAACCUUCAGACAACUGCAGCCCCAGCUGGCAUCUUGACUGCAACUCAUGAGCGAUUCUAAGCCCACCGAAGCUGCUCUUGAAUUAUUGAUUCACAAAAACUUUUAGGCUGGACUGCAGUGCUGCUGUCAUACCUCACUACAUCCUCGAACUCCUGGGCCCAAGUGAUCCUCCCACCUUGGCCUCCCAAAUAGCUGAGACUAUAGGUGUGCACUACCACACCUGGCUAAUUUUUUAUUUUUUGGUAGAGAUGGUGUCUCCUUCUGUUGACCAGGCUGGUAAAUCCUGGCCUCAAGCAAUCUUCCUGCCUUGGCCUUCCAAAGUACUGGCAUUAUAGACCUGAGCCACCACGCCAG
RNAcentral lists this long non-coding RNA (620 nucleotides) under Homo sapiens (human). RNAcentral describes it as "PREDICTED lncRNA (TCONS_00264523)". The record is from RNAcentral. Lineage: Eukaryota; Metazoa; Chordata; Mammalia; Primates; Hominidae.